Ruditapes philippinarum (Manila clam) is the source of this 1041-nucleotide RNA transcript. RefSeq lists it as uncharacterized. The transcript is spliced from 2 exons. NCBI's taxonomy places the organism in Eukaryota, Metazoa, Mollusca, Bivalvia, Venerida, Veneridae. The record is from RefSeq and is a predicted model, not a curated record.
CAUUUGAUAUUACACCACGCAAUUUUAGGUACUAAAUAAUUUAACAUUCUAAGUAAUGUUAGAAAAUAUAGAUACGUGGCAAUAUUUCAAAUAACAUAAAAAUUCCCUCCUCCGUUUCGAAGCUGUGUUUUAUAUAUUUUAUGGGUGUUGCUAAAAAGCUAUAUAUAUUUAUAUUCAUCAACCAUUUUAAUCAAAUUGCUCUUAGGUAACACUUAUUUUGUCGACGACAAGUUUCUCUAAAAUACUUACGAUGAAUCAAAAUGUUUAUUGGCUGCUCAUUUUCGCCAAUUUAUUGUCGUUUUCGUUUCACAUAUUGGCACAAGAAGAUUACAUGCAAAUAGAUAGGAGGCGGGAUGUUAAUGAUAUAAACAUUAUCAGAUAUCUAGAGAAGCCACAAGUUAAUAAACGUAACGAACGACGUAAAUAUAGACUAAAGUGUGGUCAAAAAGCUAAAGAAGUUUUAAAAAACUGUUUGUACCAAACGCCGCUUGGAGGGCAUUGUGACAGAUUUAAGAAAUUUUUCCGUAAUUGCAUUGAAGCAACAAAUAAAAAGACCUGCCUCAUAGAGCAAGGACUGUGUAAACGGUUCAUACCUCGCUAGAACUAGUUUCAGUGCAGAAAAAUUAUUUCUUGUAACUAGAAUUGCUUUAUGCCAUUCCAUUUAGUGGUGUUUUAAGGUAACAUCCCUGUAAUGGGUAUAUUUAGGAACCUGAUCAAACUUAAUAUUUUAUCAAAGUACUCUAUUUAACUUAUUUAAUUGCAACUUUUCAAAGAAAAUAAUCACCAAGUUUAUAAAUUAUAAGCAUUUUUAUGUGAAUACCCCCUUCCAGAAAAUUGCCCCCCACCAAAGAAAGUUGGGGCAGGGGUAAUGAAUAUAUGUUUAUGAAAAAUGCAGCUUGGACUUUCAAUAUUAGUUUUUAUUAUGUUUCAAGACAUAUAUUCUGAUAACAAAAUAACAAUAAACUGUUCACAUGAUGUAUUUAUUUCUAUACCUUUAAAUAAUCUUCCAUAGCAAUCAAAAUAUGGAAAUUCCAUGACCAC